Phlebotomus papatasi is the source of this 750-nucleotide long non-coding RNA. RefSeq lists it as uncharacterized. The transcript is spliced from 3 exons. The record is from RefSeq and is a predicted model, not a curated record. NCBI's taxonomy places the organism in Eukaryota, Metazoa, Arthropoda, Insecta, Diptera, Psychodidae.
GUGGCUGUGAGCGGAAAAAAGUUAAUCAGAAAAUUUGUCAGUUUAUUUGUGAUUUGUGGUAGAAAUAUAUCGGUGGUGGGAAAAGGAUAAAAGGUGAUUUUUAUUGCGCGAUCAGGAAGACUGGAAGGAAGAGAGGAAGAAGCCAGAUUGUGCGGGAACAAGGCAACGAUUUUAAUCGUCCGGAAGGCUUCUCUCACCGGGAAGGAAAUUUUUUCUGGUCCUUGCGACCACGGAUUAAUAAAUACACAUUUCUCGUUAAAGGUGAGGUCAAGGACAAGGCUGAGGGAAAGUAUAGGGGAAAUUGAAUCUAAUCUGUUACACCUUUGAAUAUCUUUAAGGUGAGGCCAAGGACAAAUCCAUCGGGAAGCUAGAGAAGGAAUUCUAUUUAAUUCGUAUCCUUUGAAUAUCUUUAAGGUGAGGUCAAGGACAAGGCUGAGGGAAAGUAUAGGGGAAAUUGAAUCUAAUCUGUUACACCUUUGAAUAUCUUUAAGGUUGGUCAAAGUACAUCCAUUUUUCUGGUCCGUCAUCGAGCCAUCGCACUCAAUCAGCUAUCGCUCCAACGGUUUCUCCAACGGUCAUCAAUCCACUCACAAUGGCCAAGCAGGUUCGGGAGGGAGUUGUGCAGGCACUUAUUCGGGUCGAGUCUUUUUUGAAGGGUAUCAGCGAGGCUGAUCUCCAAUACAUGCAACGAAGCGUCAUUGAGGCUCAAAUGGAACAAGUUGCCACAUUGAGGACACGAUAUGUGGCAGC